Molecule: small RNA, 547 nt
Filed under: Pan troglodytes (chimpanzee)
Lineage: Eukaryota; Metazoa; Chordata; Mammalia; Primates; Hominidae
Description: retained intron
Source: RNAcentral
GUUGGCCUCAAGCCCCUGUUCUGCAGCUGAUGGUUGUUCCUCCUCCUGUCCCAGAUCCUGAAGUACAUCCUCAGUCGUGAGAUCAAGGAGAAGCGGCUCCGGAGCCUGUCCAGGAAGUUCACCGACUGGGCGUACGGACCCGUGUCAUCCUCCCUCUACGACCUUACCAACGUGGACACCACCACGGAGAACUCAGUGCUGGAAAUCACUGUCUACAACACCAACAUCGACAACCGGCACGAGAUGCUGACCCUGGAGCCGCUGCACACGCUGCUGCAUAUGAAGUGGAAGAAGUUUGCCAAGCACAUGUUCUUUCUGUCCUUCUGCUUUUAUUUCUUCUACAACAUCACCCUGACCCUCGUCUCGUACUACCGCCCCCGGGAGGAGGAGGCCGUCCCGCACCCCUUGGCCCUGACCCACAAGAUGGGGUGGCUGCAGCUCCUAGGGAGGAUGUUUGUGCUCAUCUGGGCCAUGUGCAUCUCUGUAAAAGAGGGCAUUGCCAUCUUCCUGCUGAGACCCUCGGAUCUGCAGUCCAUCCUCUCAGAUG